UCGAAAGGCCCGUGACCUGCCUCUUAAGAGCAGAGUGGUAAUUUAAUGAGAAGACCAAGUUUUAUCUCCAAACCGCAACUCCUUCUUUAGAUGAAGUGAGUUACAUCAAGAAAGGGACAAAAAGAACUUGAGCUGGAUUCAUGAAAACCAAGGCUGUUCGGAUUGCUUUUCAGCAGAAUCCAACGUGGAGACAGCUGGAAAAACAGAAAUGUGGUUUACAGGAUCUCAGCUCUACCAUCAGAAAGUGUCAUGUAGAAGUCUGGGUUUGGAGCUAAAAGACAAUAGGUUAAUAACUGACACAAUCUCUGAGAUGUUUUUGAGAUUUAAUAUGCCAUUUGUCUGUCUCUUAGACCUGCACAGGGUAAUACCUGAGUAAGAAUCUUAUGGUUUGUUUUUGUUUUUUAAUGUACUUUGAUUCAGAGAGUAAAUAACUUGUUUCAUAUUCUUGAUCUACUUCAUUGCCUUAUUUGACUUAAUGAGUGUCCUUGCUUUGGUCCUGUUCUUUUGUUCUUGUUGUAUUUUUUUUUUUCUAUAAGAGUUAAAGAUAAUCCCAUUAUUCUAAUAGAGAUUUUUAUUAAGUAAGGGCUUUUGGUUUACCUAAAAUAGUGUAAUUAUCUUGAUUCCAAAUUAGAACACUUAAUAUAUUAUUCCAAGUUACUCUUUCAAAUGGUGGAAUUUUAAAUGUUUCCACACAUUAAAUUUUACAUAGUUUUAUUACUUUUUCUUUGAAUAAUGAAUCUUAGUUUUAAAAAUAUUCUUCAGACUAUGGGGUAUUUAACUGGCCCUCUGUUAGAACAGCUUUAUUUUUAGUCUAAGCUACUGCCGAACUUCCAAACUUGGUUAAACAUUCUUAUCAUUCCUUUUUUAAUAUGGCUUAAUAUGCUAGUCUUUAACAUGAACACAUUAUUUGCUCACAAGGAGUUCUCAUGAAAGUAGACUUUAUAUAAAUUGUGAUAUUAAACUUUCAAUAGGAAAUGGUCAAGUAGAGAGUAUUAACAAUGAAGUGUUCAAAAGAGCAAUGGUGGUUUAAUUACCUGAAAUGUACUUAAAAAUGUCUGUCGACAUAAAGUAACAUGAAAAUGUAAUUAGUCACUUGUGUUUAUCAAUUAAAACUUUAUUAUAAAGAAUAAUCUAUGAAAAAGU
Molecule: long non-coding RNA, 1143 nt
Organism: Bubalus bubalis (water buffalo)
Lineage: Eukaryota; Metazoa; Chordata; Mammalia; Artiodactyla; Bovidae
Exons: 2
Source: RefSeq, a predicted model, not a curated record